UACCUGCAACUGGUAUUGUAGUAAUAUGUGAGCCACAGGGGACUCAGCAAUCUCAUUUCCAAAGGUAUCAAGACAAGCAAAACUUAAUGGGUGAGGCAUGGCUAAGUGGUGAGGUUGCAGCAGCGACUAAGCAUAUAUUUGGUGGCUACACUUACGAGUACAGGAAAUAAGAGGGGGAAGAUCUACGCAUAGCGGACGUGAACUACGGAUGAUCACAUGAAUGAUCCUGAACACCUACCUACGUCAGACAUAACCCCACCGUGUUCUCGAUCGGAGAAGGAACUCACAAAAGAGACAGUCACGGUUACAUACAUAGUUGGAUAAGAGAAGCGUACGGUGGCGUGAUAGAAAUCUCCCGACUUGCCCAAGGUUGGCCCUGCACGGUGCUCUGUUUUGGACCAGCACCAUCAGCACUGGCCCCCCUGUAUUAUGUAGAAUUACUCCUCGGGUAGCGCUAACUCCCUAUGCAUUUCAAAUUAACAAAAUUAUUAUGUUUGGCGAAUAGUACCAAUGUUGGGCCUUGCCAGACCAGCUUUAAUCUAAAACGAAUUAUCAAGGGGGUCCCCAUAACAACCCCGAUCGUGUUAGGAGCGCUCAAUUAUGGAACAUAACACCGGUAGCCGAAACUAAGGGGGCAAAGGUGGAACAAAACACCAGGCUAGAAAGGCCGAGUCUUCCACCUUUUACCAAGUAUAUAGGUGCAUUAAUUAAAUAGCAUUAAAUAUGGUGAUAUAACAAGGAACCCAUGUUAUCACAUGGUAGCAACUGCACCUGCAACUAGCAACGCUAACACAAGGUUAAGCAAGCGGUAACAUAGCCAAUCAGUGGUUUGCUAGGUUGAAGGUUUUUCAUGGCAUUGUUGAGAGGCUGAUAUUUAACAUGUGGUAGGCAACGAGACAUAUUCGAUAGAAAGGGUAAACUAGCAUGGCAAUGAUACUAAUGGUAUCUGGGGAAAUGGUCAUCUUGCCUGAGAUCCCGCUUGGAAGAAUAAUGCCUCCGUGAAGCGGACGAACCGACGUAGUCGAACGGGUCCUCACUUUCCGACACGCUUGCGGAACUC
RNAcentral lists this long non-coding RNA (1060 nucleotides) under Hordeum vulgare. Its description in RNAcentral is "long non-coding RNA (HVUL_LNC001283)". Lineage: Eukaryota; Viridiplantae; Streptophyta; Magnoliopsida; Poales; Poaceae. The record is from RNAcentral.